RNAcentral lists this non-coding RNA (1491 nucleotides) under Caenorhabditis japonica. RNAcentral describes it as "Eukaryotic large subunit ribosomal RNA". It matches the Rfam family "Eukaryotic large subunit ribosomal RNA", at positions 839 to 2276 of the family's 3401-position model. Lineage: Eukaryota; Metazoa; Nematoda; Chromadorea; Rhabditida; Rhabditidae. The record is from Rfam by way of RNAcentral.
GAGCAGGAUGAAGCCAGAGGAAACUCUGGUGGAAGUCCGUAUCGGUUCUGACGUGCAAAUCGAUCGAUAGACUUGGGUAUAGGGGCGAAAGACUAAUCGAACCAUCUAGUAGCUGGUUCCUUCCGAAGUUUCCCUCAGGAUAGCUGGAACUCUUGCAGUUAUAUUCGGUAAAGCUAAUGAUUAGAGGCCUUGGGGACGUAAUGUCCUCAACCUAUUCUCAAACUUUCAAUGGAUAUGGCGUCGCAGUUUCUUUAGUGAACUGCGGCGUGAAUGCGAGUUCCAAGUGGGCCAUUUUUGGUAAGCAGAACUGGCGCUGUGGGAUGAACCAAACGUGGAGUUAAGGUGCCUAACUUCUCGCUUAUGAGACCCCAUAAAAGGUGUUGGUUGAUAUUGACAGCAGGACGGUGGCCAUGGAAGUCGGUACCCGCUAAGGAGUGUGUAACAACUCACCUGCCGAAUCAACUAGCCCUAGAAAAUGGAUGGCGCUUAAGCGAGAGACCUAUACUCCGCCGUCGCGGCAUGUGCGUUGUCUAGCGCCAGGUCGCGACGAGUAGGAAGGACGUGGCGGUUGCGUUGAAGGCUAUGAGCGUAGGCUCGGCUGGAGCUUCCGUCAGUGCAGAUCGUAAUGGUAGUAGCAAAUAUUCAAGUUCGAUCCUUGAAGACUGAAGUGGAGAAGGGUUCCACGUGAACAGUAGUUGGAUGUGGGUCAGUCGAUCCUAAGGUACUGGCGAAAGCCUUGUAUCAUCGGUGGCGAAAAGCUUGCUUUUUGUCCCCGCCCGUCGAAAGGGAAUAGGGUUAAUAUUCCCUAACUGAGAUGCAAAGAUUGUGUUCUUCGGAGCACAAGCGCGGUAACGCGUUCGAACUUGGUAAGUCGCUCAGAGACCGAGCUAGAGUUUUCUUCUCUAGUUAAGGAACGGACUCCCUGGAAUUGGUUCAGCCAGAGAUGGGGACGUUGUUUCCGAAAAGCACCGCGGUUUCUGUGGUGUCUCGUGCUCUCUGAACGGCCCUUUAAACACCAAGGGAGGCUAUUAAUUUGCACUCAAUCGUACCGAUAUCCGCAUUAGGUCUCCAAGGUGAACAGCCUCUAGUCGAUAGAAUAAUGUAGGUAAGGGAAGUCGGCAAACUAGAUCCGUAACUUCGGGAAAAGGAUUGGCUCCAGUGGUCGGAACGGUUGGCCAGUUGGUUGAUGCUUGUCCGGCGCUGUUCUGUCUGCUUGAUGCUUUCGGGCUGAUGGCGGCCUAGUGAUAGUGCUUGCUUGUUGACGCUUUCUGGUGUGUGCUUUGACCUCGGUCUUAGUAUCCUGAUCGUUCAUCUAAACGACUAAACUGGAACCGGUACGGACUCAUGGAAUCCGACUGUCUAAUUAAAACAGAGGUGACAGAUGGUCCUUGCGGACGUUGACUGUCACUGAUUUCUGCCCAGUUGCUCUGAAUGUAAAUCGUAGUAAUUCGAGUAAGCGCGGUAAACGCGGGAGUAACUAUGACUCUCUUA